GUCGAGAGGGUUCGGCCCUCGGCGUACUGCUCAGUAACACGUGGAUAACCUGCCCUAAGGAAGGGGAUAACCCCGGGAAACUGGGGAUAAUACCCUAUAGGUUACAGAUGCUGGAAUGCUCUGUAACCGAAAGUUCCGGCGCCUUAGGAUGGAUCUGCGGCCGAUUAGGUUGUUGUCGGGGUAACGGCCCAACAAGCCAGUAAUCGGUACGGGUUGUGGGAGCAAGAGCCCGGAGUUGGAUUCUGAGACACGAAUCCAGGCCCUACGGGGCGCAGCAGGCGCGAAAACUUUACAAUGCGGGCAACCGUGAUAAGGGAACCUCGAGUGCCUGUAUAUGCAGGCUGUCUGGGUGUCUAAAACACACCUAAAGAAAGGGCCGGGCAAGACCGGUGCCAGCCGCCGCGGUAAUACCGGCGGCUCGAGUGGUGGCCACUUUUAUUGGGCUUAAAGCGUUCGUAGCUGGGUUGUUAAGUCCCUUGGGAAAUCCGACAGCUUAACUGUCGGGCGUCUAAGGGAUACUGGCCCUCUUGGAACCGGGAGAGGUGAGGGGUACUUCGGGGGUAGGAGUGAAAUCCUGUAAUCCUCGAGGGACCACCUGUGGCGAAGGCGCCUCACCAGAACGGCUUCGACAGUGAGGGACGAAAGCUGGGGGAGCAAACCGGAUUAGAUACCCGGGUAGUCCCAGCCGUAAACGAUGUGCGUUAGGUGUAUCGGUGACCACGAGUCACCGAGGUGCCGAAGGGAAACCGUGAAACGUA
RNAcentral lists this ribosomal RNA (758 nucleotides) under archaeon enrichment culture. RNAcentral describes it as "bacterial SSU rRNA". It matches the Rfam family "Archaeal small subunit ribosomal RNA", at positions 57 to 823 of the family's 1478-position model. The record is from RNAcentral.